GACGAACGCUGGCGGCGUGCUUAACACAUGCAAGUCGAACGGAAAGGCCCUGCUUUUGUAGGGUGCUCGAGUGGCGAACGGGUGAGUAACACGUGAGUAACCUGCCCUUGACUUUGGGAUAACUUCAGGAAACUGGGGCUAAUACCGGAUAGGAGCUCCUGCUGCAUGGUGGGGGUUGGAAAGUUUCGGCGGUUGGGGAUGGACUCGCGGCUUAUCAGCUUGUUGGUGGGGUAGUGGCUUACCAAGGCUUUGACGGGUAGCCGGCCUGCGAGGGUGACCGGCCACAUUGGGACUGAGAUACGGCCCAGACUCCUACGGGAGGCAGCAGUGGGGAAUAUUGCACAAUGGGCGGAAGCCUGAUGCAGCAACGCCGCGUGCGGGAUGACGGCCUUCGGGUUGUAAACCGCUUUCGCCUGUGACGAAGCGUGAGUGACGGUAAUGGGUAAAGAAGCACCGGCUAACUACGUG
RNAcentral lists this ribosomal RNA (468 nucleotides) under uncultured bacterium. RNAcentral's name for it is "partial 16S ribosomal RNA". It matches the Rfam family "Bacterial small subunit ribosomal RNA", at positions 28 to 507 of the family's 1533-position model. The record is from RNAcentral.